Molecule: ribosomal RNA, 253 nt
Filed under: uncultured bacterium
Lineage: Bacteria
Description: partial 16S ribosomal RNA
Rfam family: Bacterial small subunit ribosomal RNA
Source: RNAcentral
GACGUAGGGGGCCAGCGUUGUUCGGAAUUACUGGGUGUAAAGGGUUCGUAGGCGGUGUAGCAAGUCGGGAGUGAAAUCUCUGGGCUCAACCCAGAGUCUGCUUCCGAAACUGCUGUGCUUGAGUGUGGGAGAGGCGCGUGGAAUUGCAGGUGUAACGGUGAAAUGCGUAGAUAUCGGAAGGAACACCUGUGGCGAAAGCGGCUCACUGGACCAUAACUGACGCUGAGGCGCGAAAGCUAGGGGAGCAAACAGG